This 380-nucleotide long non-coding RNA is filed under the name Lathyrus oleraceus (garden pea). Its description in RNAcentral is "Pisum sativum (pea) long non-coding RNA (PSAT_LNC021178)". The record is from RNAcentral. Lineage: Eukaryota; Viridiplantae; Streptophyta; Magnoliopsida; Fabales; Fabaceae.
UACCAAAUUAUGUGAAAAAUGAGAAUCAAGAGGUCUUUCAAAGGUUGUAAUGUGGCUUAGGUUACAAGAAAGGAUAUGAUUAAGAGAAUUCAACCAAAUUGCCUAUCCUAAGGGAGCAUUCCCAAAGAUUCAACCCUACACAAUUUCCCUUUCUUUGAUCCCUAUCUUUUUCUUUUUCUUUUUCUUUUCAAAUCCACACAACCAUGAGCAUUUUCUUUGCUUUUUUCUUUCUUUUCUUUUUUCUUUGCUCUAUGGUUUCAAGGGUGAUUUCUUUUUCUUGUUUCUUUUCAUAUUUUUACCCUUUCAUAAAAACUCACUUUUCCAAGUUUCUAAUCAACUUUUCACUUUACUCUCCCCAACUUUAGAUUCCAAAACCAAAU